RNAcentral lists this long non-coding RNA (498 nucleotides) under Vitis vinifera (wine grape). RNAcentral's name for it is "long non-coding RNA (VVIN_LNC004789)". Lineage: Eukaryota; Viridiplantae; Streptophyta; Magnoliopsida; Vitales; Vitaceae. The record is from RNAcentral.
UCAAGUGAAAUCAGCAUGGCUUCAAACAAAUGACUAUGUAGCUCUUUUGAUUGCAUAUCAUGUGGGGAUACAAGGCAUAAAAUAAAAUUCAUAGUUGAUUCUCUGAGAGUUGUGGAACUGGCUUUUGCACAGGAAACCCCUUCUGAGGCAUCUACUGCACAACCCACCAGCCUCUUCUCCAACCAUUUAGACAGACAAAGCAAAUCCAUGCUAAGAAAUUUUGUUUGUAUCUUCUGCUUGAGGUCAGGGCAGAGGUCUCCAGAUAAAAGAUCAACAAAGAAGUUAAGGACCUUCACGUUAACCGAUUCAGAGUAACAAUUAUCCAAUGAAUCAACCAGAACCAAUAAAUCACCACGUUGCAACCCAUAAAGCUCCUCGACCUUUUCAGACACAUCAACCAUACUGACAUAAAAUUUGAAAAUGACAGCCAGUGAAGGGUCUUUCCUGAGGAUAUCCAUCAUAUCGAUUGCCUUGGUCACUAUACAUUCAUGGAUACUA